Molecule: ribosomal RNA, 524 nt
Filed under: uncultured bacterium
Lineage: Bacteria
Description: bacterial SSU rRNA
Rfam family: Bacterial small subunit ribosomal RNA
Source: RNAcentral
UAGCUAUUUAGGUUAGAGUUUGAUCAUGGCUCAGGACGAACGCUGGCGGCGUGCUUAACACAUGCAAGUCGAACGAGGCCCUCCUUCGGGAGGUGUCCUAGUGGCGAACGGGUGAGUAACACGUGGGCAACCUGCCCCCGGCUCUGGGAUAACUCCAAGAAAUUGGGGCUAAUACCGGAUAGGACUACAAGGCGCAUGUUUUGUGGUGGAAAGCUUUUUGCGGUGUGGGAUGGGCCCGCGGCCUAUCAGCUUGUUGGUGGGGUAAUGGCCUACCAAGGCUUCGACGGGUAGCCGGCCUGAGAGGGUGACCGGCCACACUGGGACUGAGACACGGCCCAGACUCCUACGGGAGGCAGCAGUGGGGAAUAUUGGACAAUGGGCGGAAGCCUGAUCCAGCAACGCCGCGUGAGGGAUGACGGCCUUCGGGUUGUAAACCUCUUUCAGCACAGACGAAGCGCAAGUGACGGUAUGUGCAGAAGAAGGACCGGCCAACUACGUGCCAGCAGCCGCGGUAAUGUCGGGCC